Molecule: long non-coding RNA, 12991 nt
Organism: Tympanuchus pallidicinctus (lesser prairie-chicken)
Lineage: Eukaryota; Metazoa; Chordata; Aves; Galliformes; Phasianidae
Exons: 8
Source: RefSeq, a predicted model, not a curated record
GAAGUCAUCAUUCCCUCAAAUGCAACUUCAUUGUUUACGUCCAAGUUUGGUUAAAAUUUCUGUGGAAAGUCAGAGUACACUUUUAAUGCUCUCAGUAUUGUUCUGUGUCUUGGAACUGCAGGUUUUCCACAAAAGAAAAUUUGGCUGUGUCAAGAUUGCACCUUUGCAUUAAUGAACUGUCAGGAAACCCCAGGGAAUACAACCAAAGAGCUAAACAGAAGUACUGAGUCUGCAGGAAAUAAGCUGAAAAUUUGCAAGAAAUCUUUGAAAUACUUCUGUGUGCCUAAAAUCAGAGACAAAAUUGCUACAUAAGAGAAGCAGUCCUGACCUGGCUUCCAAUGCGGAUAACUGGCAAUAAGCUGAGACAUAUAUAGCGUCCUACUACGUUGUAAGAGAUUGGAUUCUCAAGGAACAGGAAACUCUGAUCAGUUUUGUCUUGACAUUGAACGGGGCAGGUGUGUCCACAUAAGGUGCAACAGAGAGGAUUUGCAUGCUGGCUUGCUGAAGUGACAGAAUUGUGCAAAAUAACUGCAGUGGUCUGGCAAGCUUCAGGAAGCAGGAAAAAUAUUGCUCAAAUUGAAACGUCUAGGAAAUCAUGAAAAUUUCAUCAGGGAGCGUUUUCAGAAUGGAUACAGUUCAGGUGAAGAGACCAGAAUGGUCAGCAAUCUGGUAAUUAGAAAACUUACCUGAGAGCAUUUGAAGUACUGAUUAGAAUCUAGCCGUGCAGAUCACAAGGAUAUGGCUGAACAAAGAGGCACUAGCUAUUCUGAGGUGGUUUUCUUUCUCAAAAACAAUGAAUUACGAGAAGAUAAUUGGGAGCAGUCAACAAGGACUUGAGAAUGCACAGGCUGUAAGGAGGAGAGGUGAUCCCAAAAGGCAGAAAAUGUAGAUCUGAGCUGAAGGGCAUUCCUAAGUCUGGACAUCCUGGAUAUAAACUUAUGUGACUGUUCCUGAGGGCUUCAGCAUCACCCUCAGAAGAGGAAAAUAGCACUUCAUCACUUGCCAAGAGAAGGUAUGUGGGGAAAAUCUUGUCUCUUCUACCAGAGAAAGCCCUAAGAAUUAAACUAAGUAAAACUGAAAAGCCUAUCCUCAAGACAGAGUGCAUAAGUAAUAAGUGUAUUUGCCUGGCAAAGCAAUCCCUUUCACAGUUCAAACCAAUGGUGUAGAGUGAGCUUUGGGGAUACCAAGGAAAAAGGGGUUUCAGAGAGAGAUUUGGAUGCUUCCUUUUUAAAGAUGGCAGUUUUUAAAGCCAUUGAGAAAAUGAAGACCUGUCUGUACCUGUAGCAUAGUUUAGUAGCUCUGUUUGUCUCCCUUUUAGGUUCUGGUCUUGUUUGCUGCAGCAGCAGUCUUCCUAAUGGUUUCCUGAUAAAGCUCAUUAGAGUGUUCAGAUUUUUGUUCUUCUCAAACCUCCUUCAGCUCUUCCCAUCACAAUCCCCUCCCCAGUCACAAGGCUCUGAUCACCUGUGGUAUAUAGCCUUCAGAGUCUGUGUGGAGGGGCAGACUGUGCUGGAAAUGCGGUGCAUACUGAAUCGCUUCAGGGUUGGCUAGGCAGUAAUUCUCAGAAGAGUUGGCAGAGCACGGUGCUGCUGUAUGCUGGUGCCUUGCUGCUGCUCUGCUGGAGAUCCGUGAGCAGCAACAGCACUGCAAGUCCUUUCUUCUUUCCUGACAGCACCGCAGUACCUGUAUCUUAAUCAGUCAGUGUCAGACAGUGUCACAGGCUCCGAAUGCUUCUCUAAGCAAAGCACAGCACAAAUACCUCCCUGCUGCUUGUAGCUUAGGUUACCAUUACCAGACUAAGCUCCUGAUAUAACAGUUAAAUGCUCCAGAGCAGCUGGCACAUUGGUGCCAACACGUGUGCAGAGCAAGGCACCCCUCGGCCCCACACCAGAAGGUUUCUGUGCUCUCAUGACUCGCACUGCAGCUGCCUCUCCAGUAGACAGGGAGACAGCACAGGUAGAGACAGAGCUGACAAAAGAUUGCUGGUGUGGCUGAUGCCAUUUCAGUCAUGUACAUUAUAAAGAAUGAGGAAAUCUUGUGUAUCUUAUAUCAAAAUACUAUGUGCUUCUCAGGAUAUCUGAUUUAUAACUUUCCUGAAUGGCAUGGUUGAAAUCAGAAAGGACCAAGGGGGAAACCUUUCCAAAAUGAAACGGUGACAUAAAUAAGAGUUUCAAAGGAAGCAACUGAGUAGCUGACAAUAGGUAAUAAUUGUGGCUCCAUCAAAGUUAGGGUGGUUUACUGUUCCCAGCGGAGAAUCUAGCAUCAAAGGGAAUCCUAAACCUGAAACACUUGGAAAGAAGUGAGUUAUCAGCAAUACAAGGUGAGUUCUGUAAAGAACAAAGAGAACAUUUUGUGAGCAGGACAGCCUGCUCUGCCCCUACUCAGAGGCAGAGUGGUCUUCCCUGAGCACGCUGAGGUUAAGAUUGGGCUUUUAGGUCUUUUGUUGUGUUUGCGUUUUCCUCAAGGCUUUGUACCAUUGAGGUAUGGGGAAAUAGGGCUUUAUUUUUCAAAGGGUCAUUUAAAUUGCAUCUGUUCAGAGGAUCUUGCCAGAGAAGUCUUCAAGUUCCCUAGGUUAGACCUCUUGUGUUAACAGAAGAAUCUGCUGAACCUUGGUAUCAUAGGCAUUGAAUAUUUACAGCAGUUUUAUUGAAAUUUUGGUGUUGAAAUACUUUACUGAACAACAGCUAACAAUCAUAAAUUUCAGUAACUUGAAUUUUAGUUUGUCAAUUAUCUUUUGAGUGUUCUUCUGAUGCUGUAUAGCCACUUGUGUGUGGAAGAAAAAUAACAUUGCUUGGAGCUCUUGCCUACAUUUAAUUAACGUGGAAGUGCAGAGGGGUAACUUUACAGUAGGUGUUCCAAUUUGGCUGGGUCAGUCUGUGUACUAAUAGAACUAUCUUCAUGUGUAGAGGAAGGCAGGCAGGGUUUUACUUUUGUCUUUGAUUUUCAUUGACAAUAUUCCUUCCGCACCCUUUAGACCAUAAGCAUUCACCCGUUCCUGGGGCUGGGUUACAAGAGUGGCUCAAUGUGGUAUAUCCUCUGCAGCAUUAAAACCAAUCGUACUCAGGUCUUUCUACUUGAUGGUAUAAUAACAAUUUUAAGAUGUCUCUUUCCACACGUAUUCACAAAAGGAUGAAGAAAUAGUGGUCUUUUUAUUAUAUGCAAAAGGCUAUCCACCCAUCUGGGCUGUUGUCGAAAUGAGACCUUGUUCAGAAACAAGAUAAUCAGUAAAAACAGUAUGCUCAGUUUUCAUCUUUGAAAUCUUACACAGAUUGUGAGUAAUUUGGGAAUGAGAGAGAAGACAAAAAUGCUUGAAGACUGCAUAUUCAGAGGUCUCAGCUUUAGCAAAAUGUUAUGGCUUUAAGACUCUGCCUUAUAAUUCACUUCAGCUACCCCAGGAAGUAAAAAGACGGUGUUUCAGAGGCUGACUGCACAGGUCGUAACCUUCUAUACACAAUAUAUUGAGCAAUUCCAUCAUUCUUGCAUUGAAAGUGGAUUUAGACUGACAUAGCAGAAUAGAAAAAAUGCUUAAUAAACUAGGAGUUUUAUUACACACACACACACCAUCUUGUAGGUAUGCAUUCAGCAAAGAAUGGGUGUGACACUGUAAUAGGUACACUAAAAAAGGCAGUCUGUUCAUAUUAAUAUCUGCAUUCAACACACUGAGAUUAAAAAAAAAACUGUUCUCACUUAUUCUGUUAUUUAUCCUGAUCAGCUUUCUGUUUGUUUAGAAAGCCUGUUAUGCAAAGUGAUAAAUAUGAAAUUUAAGAGACAGAAUUUUUUUAUGAGUAGUGGUAGAUGCUGUGCUCUGAGCCAGGUAAGGGAUGGAGGAGGCACUGUCCUGGCAAGCAUUGGUCUGCGUGCGUGUCCUCUGGUGAGGAGAGAAACUUUCCGUUGUGCUGCCCCUCCAGCUUCCUCAAGAGCAACCAGGGUGAGUGCUUCCAGGGGCCGACUCAUCAGCCCACGUGCUGAAUCAGCCCAAGAAUUUUUAGCUACAGGAGAAAAAUGGAUCACACCAGAGGACUUUCUCCUUGAAGAGAACUUCAGCCUGUUCUAAUCAGAGAUGCAAAUUACUGAGGUAUUCUGGGCUUCUUUAACCAUUCUCAGCAUUUUAUUGCAAAAAGAAAUGGAAAUGAUGGUCACGCACUCUUCAUCUUAGGCAAAAUCAUAGUUAACCCUUUGAUGUAAUUAAAAUAUGUGGGGAGGUCUCCUAGACUUUCAUCUCCUGGAUAAGAAAAGGAAUAAAACCGUAGUAGACCCUAGGAGAAAGAGAAGCCUUCCAGCUGCCUCCUGCCCAUUUCCAGGUGCCCACUUGAGCUGUAAGAGCUGUGGGCCAACUUCACCAACAGAUCAGUCUCAACUUUUGAGACUCUUGGGCCCAGGUGACCCUCUAAAAAUCAGGACCAAGGAUAGGAUGGUGAGUUUUAAAUCCAGGGCUUUAAGGCCCUAACUGUUGAUUAGAACAUUGAACCAUCCUUUCAUUAUAGAGAAGUUCCUCACCAUAAGUAAUUCUUCAUUAUCAUCACUUGUUUGCUAAUUGCUUUUGCUUUGCAGUCUGACUUUCAUUAUCAUGUUGUAUAACCACUGCUACCUUACUUUUCAACCAUAUGUUGUCAGUUGUACUUUUUCUUCUUGUCAUUGCAUUAUUGUCAUGCUCUAAGCUGUUUAUGAGUUUUGAAAUAUGAAAUUUUGGUCUUGCUCAGUUUUAAGCUAACCCUGCUGCUUAAAUGAAGGAAUAUCACAUUUGCCAUACAGAGAGAUUUAUUUAAAAGCCAACUGUGAAUUACACUGAGGAAUCUGCAGUAAACCAUGACAAUAAAUAAUGAGAGAAUGUUUGCCUGGAGGACUUGUCCCUAAUGAGGUUUGGUCUUAAAUAGGCAUUCUGUUUGGAAAUCAGAUACCUUUUGUUUCUUGAGGUUUUCAUGUUUCUCCCUAUUAAGUAGGGUUUUCUGAGAGAUUUUGUUAGUAAUUGAUCAUGGGGUCAGUAAUGGUUAUGCUUCACAGGAAAAUGUGUGACUAUGAAAAUACUUGGGGGGGUAAUGGGGAGACAGAAGGGAAGUUAUGUCCUAUUUAUGUGCAAUUCCAAUUUCUGAUAUUUAUCUGCUUGUUUGUAACCUGAAAGUCUUAUCAAGAUAGCACAGUUUUGGAAGGAGGAAAACCCAACAUUUCUUAAAAUGAGAUUAUGUUCUUAAGUAUAAAAUAUUAUUAUUAGGGUUCGUAUUUCUACUCUGAAGUGCACCUCCUUAUAUUGUUACAGUCUUGUGUAGGAGCUGUUCUCAAAUGAUCUUUCCUCAAUGACAGUAGUUCUCCCUCCCAAACUCUUUUUCUUUCUAUGAGCCAACCUUGCUGUCUGAUUGUUCACUUACACACAGGAUCUAUGCUCCUACAGAGUUACAGCAGCGACUUGGACGAAAAUGUGUCCCAAGUAUUCCAGAAGGUCAAUCCUCCAUUGCUUUGUAAGGUACACAAGAACAAUUUUCCAGCACUGUAUUUUGGACAACUCUAUUAUAGGAGAAUACAUGGAAUCACAAUGGAGGUAUAUAUGGUGCAUGCACAAAGAAAAGCUGUAGGAAACGAUGCGUGAUCUCUUUUGGAAGAGGUGAUGGUGUUUUUCUUUGGGCAGGGCACAACCACACAGAUAGCAUACUAAGGUGAGCCUGGGGUAAGUACACCAAGAGUUGACAUUUGUCACCUGCUGCUACCACGAGGCAAAAAAUGGCAUUCACGAGGCAGUGGUGAGAGCAUAAGCUUGUACUUAAACAAAGCAUUUUCUGAAGAUGUAUGCAAUUUUCUGUUGUGGUGGCUUCUUUCAAUAGCCUCUUCUUGUCAUCAUGCUGCUAAGCUUGUAGUAAACACUGUCACCCCUUUUGUAACAUUUUAUAAACUCCUUUCCACUUCAGCAUUAAGAAACUCAGCUCUACUCUCUCCAGGUAUUCCCAGUUGCUUCAUAAUGUCUCUCGUCAUUCUCCUGUAAUGGUAAGAAACUGUUCAUUACUUCAGAUCAAACUGUGCCUUUUAGGCUGGUUAUAGCACUGUGAAUGGUACUCCAGUGGCUUAUUUGAUUGAUGAGUUGUAAUAACUGCUUUUGGAUGCCUUUGUUGUGACAAUAGUUUUUCAGCUUCAUCCAUGUAUAAUAAAUAGCCUAACAAACACAUUAUUUCAUUUCUUUAUUAAGUCAUUAAUUACACUGCACAUUCUUUAACUGCAUCAGAAGAGUUUCUGGAUAAAACCAACUUACUGUCAUCAUUAUUGAGUGCACUACUCUUACAUGGACUACCUGGAAGUAAAUCUACAUGUAAUAGAACAUGCCCAACACCACCAUAGUCUUUUACUUAACACUUAUAGUCAAAUCACAUUUUAUCUAACCUGGAACCAUCUGUUUUGGUUAUAGAAAGAUCAAAAAUUCUUUUAAAUGCCUUUGUCAUGGAUUAAGAGAGAACAUACAGGCCACAAGUAGAAGUAACCGAAACACUGUAUUUCUGUAAAAAUGGAUGAACCCCAGAAUUUUCCUGAGUUUCAAUCAGUUUUAACAAAGAGAAAACAUAGAGAAUACAGACAGUACAAACACAGGACAGCUUUUAUAUUUAAACACAUGCCAUUCAGCUAGUCAAAAAAUUAUUCAGACACCACCAUUUCAAAGGCGUAUUACUGACAUAUGGUGUCUGACAUGUUUCCACAACUGAGUACACAGGCUUUGAUGACAACCAUGAAAAUCACAUCUUUCCAUGUGAGCAGUUAUCAGAGAAACAGGCAAAUGAAGACUUAGCUUGGGGUUUUAUACUCUUACCGAUUCUAAAGGACUGCAAGAACCAAGGUAAGUCUUCUGGCUUUUCAAAACAUAGGCGUCCUUUGCUUCAACCAUUCCAUACCCUGUUCCACACCUCACAAUGGGACCCCACAAACAGCAGAGCAUAACUGCUGCUGCUAUUGAGCUGUUCUCCCAGAGGCAGCAAACAGACUCAAUUAGACACAACAGGCUAUUCCCAGGGCUAGUCUCCAAACUGACAGUUUGAGAUCCUUGGCAUAUGGCUUGCGGUUUCAUGGUGUAUAGAAGGUUACUAUUUUGUUAUAGGAAAACUAGGUAUUAAAGCCUCUUGUGGCACUGAGUCAGGUUAAGACAGGGCUAGAUACUCAAGUAUUCUAGCCCUGUCAGGACUUAAAGAUAUCUUAGUGGAAAAAGGCUUCUGGCUUUGCAGGCCAGAAUCUCAAGUACCAUAUAAGAGGUUGACAAAAAAUCCCUCACCACUCUAACUCAUAUGUGGGCUUAGAAGGGGUAAUUGAGAUUUUUGCUUUAGCCUUCACUGCCCAAAUUUUGUUUACAUUCUCAAGGGAGCAGUUGCUCAGCUCAGAGCCUAUCAGAGCAACAGUAAAAUAAGCAAAGGCAAUACUGAAAUUUACACAGACACAAAGUUAGGAAGGCCAGGCUGUUGACAGAAUGCUGUGCCAUCAUAUAUAAAUAAACAAACAAUUCAUUUAUAAAAAACUAAACAUCUGCACAAAACUAAAUUAGCACAACUGAACUCCCUUCUCCCACUACUUAAUUCGCUUGUCCUAAAUAAGUAUUUUUCUCUAUUAAAUAGUAACAUACUUCUCCACUGGGAUGUGCCAGAGUCUAGCAGUUCAUUCAUCAUUUUAGGCCUCAAACGCCAGUCAGCUGAGGAGUGUUUCCCUAGGACUACACUAAAUUAGGAACAUUUCCAAAGCAUUAUUCUUUCUCUGGCCCUUUUCAGAGUCUAUUCCAGUACCCUUGCUGGUCCCACUGAUGCCUGGACAAGGCUUUCAGCUCAUAGCUGGCUCAUAUCCCACCACACUGCAGCACAGCAAGCAAGCUGUCCUCCCUCUGUAGGGACAAACAGACAGUUGCUCAGCUCGAGAUGCUGAAACACACACACUGGCAUUCAGUGUAAAAAUGUCAACUCUUGCAAUCAAACCUGCAAUUCACUUUGUGUUUUCUGUACUUGAAGUCCCAAGCUUUCUCUUUUUAAAUAAAAAUACUGUUAGCAUACAUAGAAUUUCCAUGGUUUAUUUUAUCAGCCUGUAUUCUCCCUGGUGUAAAAAAAAGAAAGAAAAAAGGGCCGUAUAUUUUCUUUUAGUCACCAGUUGGUCCUCCUUUAAGGACCUUGUAAGACAUUUUUUUGUGUAUUGUUUCUCUGCAUAUGUGGGCAGCUUUACUACUUCAUCCCCCUCAGGACCACUUAACAACAUCAGCAAAGCAAUUAAGUGUAGUUUUCAGGAAAAUGCCAGAGGCAUUACACUGUCUGGAUGGGAGUCUCAACCCAAUUAUUUUCAGCUAGUUGUGAACUGUGGAAAGUGGACUUUACUUCAUUAUAACUUCAGUUCCCACUGAUUAAAAGUCUAGUGUGUUACAGACAGUAAGGAAAAAUGAAAACAAUUAAACUUUCCGUCAAUAAAAUGGCUGCAUAUUCUUCAACAUAGGAGUUUACUUCUCUCUAGAGAAGUGAUUAAAAUGAACUGAUUGAACUAUAAUUUGAUUGACUGAAGAGCCUCAAUCCAUUGCACUAAAGCUUAAAUUCCAUCUUAUUGCUCUAUUUAACUCUGAAUAUAAAAAAAAAAUUACUUGCAGUGUCACAAACCUCUUACACAGUCAUCCAGUUGAAAUUUCUUACUACUCACAGGCUGCGGUAGAUUCUGUUCCUUCUCUGCAUGAUUCACAAUAGACUGCUGCUGAAAAGUGACAAAGACCCUUAAGAAAUGACAUUAAUAUAGCUUUAAAAUCUUCGUCUUGUACAUAUCACAUAAUCGUCAUUUGGGGAUUCUAAACUCAACCACAGAUCGAGUUGACCUAAGACAAUGAAAAAGAAUGAUGUUCAGGUUAUCUACAGCUGUUGCAGCAAGAAAAUAAUCUCCUCAUGAAAACCACAGCCCUGAGGAAGCCUCCUACCACAGAUCUGCCUUCAGCAAGGUGUAAGGUUGUCAGAUGCACAGGUUUGUUUGCAUACAUACACAUUCCUUCAAGGAGAUACUAAAGAAAGAGGCACAUUUAGCCUGGUUUCAGUGGUAAGUUGUGCUGGCUAAGAAUCAAGAUGCCUAGGAUUCUCAGGCAAAGAUCAUUUUCUUUGGACUCGGGGCAAAUUUCUACAGUGUUUAUUCUACAAGACUAUCAUCUCUACAGCUGAGUAACUGUUCUGCCAAAUUCUGGGACUCCUGUUGCACUAACAAAAGCUAGUCAAGAAACAUUAAGGCAUGCAUGCUUUCACUGACAAGCUACUAUGAUAUAGAAAAUACCCAACUUAGCAUUCACCACUCUGAAAAUUUAACUGAAAUGGCAUUCCCCUUUAGAAGGUUGCCACUCUGUUGGUUGACAUUUUAUUUCUUUAGUUCAUAUUUUGAAUUAAAACACAGCAUUUGAAAUACAGCUAUACUGCAGUAAAAUUGAAUUGGAAUAUAUUAUAGCUUUAAAUUAAAUUAUGUUGGUAAUUAAGUGAAUGAGGCUGGGUAGGAAGAGCAAAUAAAGAUGGGCAGCAAGCACUGGGCUAAAUUCUUACAUGCUUCCUUUCACAGGCAGCUCAAACUCCAAAGGAAGUCAGUAGAUACUUUUGUAUUACCAUCAGCAUGAACUGGGACACUGAUCCUUGAGCUGUAGUACUUUGUUACUGAGCUCAGUCUGCUGUAGAGCUUUACUCUUCUGGCUGUGACUGACCUAUAACGCUAGCUUCACAAGGAAGCCAUAGCUCUAACACAAACAGUUCAAACCCUUAGAUUCUGCCAAUCCCAGCCUUACAGGGAUUUCUGACCACACUCAAGAGUUACUAAUUCACUAUACUGUUUGGUUUUAUUAUGCAUAGUUCAUACCACAGACAUGAAAUUCUCCAAGUUUGUUAGCCAAAAGCUAGCAAGACUGCACUGGAGUCACUAAGGGAAUAUUGCUGCACUAAGGUAAAAUGCUGCCUCUGCCAUUGAAGGUCCACUUUUGACAAAUUACAUAACUCUUAAUAGCUACCUUGCAUUACUGGCCUUUUCUUUUGUUUCUCCCUUCAUUCUGAUUACCAAAUGCUAUGUCAUUCUCUACUCCACCUCAACAUCUGUAACUUUGAAUGACAGAUACACAAUAACAGGAAAGGAGACAAGGGAAAUGCUCAACCACAAAUUCCAGGGUGUCUAUGGAGACUGCAGGAUAUUUGCUACAUUCCCUGUUCCCAGUUUUAGGCUACACACACCAGAAGCACAUAGGGCACCAAACAACCUAAAUGCCUAUUUGAACCUUUCAGUUCUUACAUAGACAGAUACACUCACAUUUUACAAACCCACCUUUAUCUGCAUAACAGCUGCAUAAGAAAGAGCUGUGUUUGAAGUCAUUUAUUCUCUUGCAGAACAAGAAACAUUUUUGACAGCAAAAAGACAAGCCCCAAGCGUGAAAGUAGCCUCAAGUCUUCUCUUUUUCUGAAAUUGGAAAGUGGCAUUUAUUUGUCUUUCAUAGUGCUCCUACAGCCAUGGUAGCAAACAGCACAUGGGCAGGGUUUCUUACCAUGCUGACAGAAUGGUCAUGAGUAAGCUGAGCAGCAUGCAAACAACGUCAAGAUGAGGGCAGGACAGGGCCUUCUUUCAAGUCCAACCUGUGAGAGGCAGAUGAAGGAUGAAGAGGCAUUUCCUGACUCAAGCAAUUGCUUAAUAUAUCCCCCUCCCUGAAAAGCAUCAUCAACUGCAUGGUUAGGAACUUGCCAACACUUCCACCAAACUACACUGGACAGCAGUAGAGAAAAAAAAAAAGAUUCAAGUGGGUUUGAAACACUUCCUGCAUGCAGGAUCAGCAUUUUCUCUUUUCAAUAUCAAGUUGAUUUCAAAUACCUGUAAUUAUGAAAACAUAUUAAAAUGUAUUAGCCAGUAGAUUUAUGUUUGAAAGAUGCCAUUUUAAUUAGAGAGGCCACAAUUCUCAGUUUUUGAGCAAAUGUGAUUACUGCAAUUUCUUCAUUGAAUUAUAGCUUUGCUACUUAAGAAAACAUUAUUUAAAGCGCAGUGUUAGCCACCUACACCACACUGAUGAAAAUCUCAGCAAAACAUAAAGAAACACUUGAAUAAACUCUUCCUAGCAACCAAGGUCUUUCAUCAGAAAAGCAGCAUAUUUUAUUUGUUGAUUUGUGGUGGUGUUUUUUUUCUUCCUUGAACAUUAUAUUUUUCUAGCUUGCACUCCCUCAGCUAAUUCAUCAAAUCCCUGGAAUAUACUUUUCAGUGAAAAUGUAAGCCAUUGACAAAGCCACCUUACUGUUCAUAUGCUAAAAAAAAAUUAACUGAACUUUUUUCCCCAAAAUCCAUAUUCAAAUGCUUGUGUCAUCACUAUUUAUGUGUCGCAUUGUGGCAGUGAGGCCACAUUCUCAGAAUUCUGAGCAUCCCUGACUUCCGCUAACAGAAAUACCAGGAGGUUAAUUUUCAUUACUAAUCUUCUUCACAUACACUGACCUGCUGUAUUACUUCCUAAAAUUAACAGCAGUAUUUUAAGUAAUGCUGAAUUUCUACAAUUCUGACUGAGUAGAACAUAGAGAUAUAAAAUACUUACCUGAAUAUUGGUCUGUCUUUUCAGGCUGGAACAACUUUGAUGUUGUUACUCGAGAAAUGGUUAUUUUGGAUCUCCUCAGUACUUCAUAGAAUGCUGGAGAUCCAAUUUAAAAAAAAAAAAAAAAAAAACCCAGACCUGUUAAGUUAAUAAUUAAGUAAAAAUGAGUGCACUUUGAUAAAGAAAAACAAAGACUGCCAUUUUGAAUAGGUUUUUCCCAACAGACAGUACCAUUUCUUCCAUGAUGUACCACCUCUUUUCUCCUAUGAAAAGAACUGUUUUUAGGAGAAUUUUCUGCUUCUGUAUAUGCCUUCUUUUCUUACCUAAGGGUUUUUACUCCUAUAUUUCUUUCUUUCUUGUAGGAGGCAGACCAAUGGUUUUGUCACUAACUCUUCAAGAAAAUCAGAGGAGCGAAAUGGGAAAUCUGUCUUCCAUGGAAAAGAGGAAAGAUGCUAAGGGACAGGAUGCAUCCUCCUUGACAUAAUGUGGUCAAAGAGCCAGCUUCCUCGCUUCUCCCUAAAGAGCUCUCAGACAACUGUCUAGAAAAGCGCACAGUGUCCCCAGCUGUUAACAGCAGGAUAUACUGCAGCUCUCUAGACUGCUGCUGCCAUGUCGUUUCUGCGCCUCCAGGGUCAGCUUAGUGUAUUAAAUUAACAGUUUCCCAGGCAAGGCAAAAUGUCUGUGAGCAGAAUGGUGCAGCAUAAUAAUGGGAUACGAGGGGAAGACACCUCCUGAAGUAUUAGAUGUUUUGGUAAGAGCAGGAAACAUUGAAGUGAUUCUGACUUACAUGGCUUAGUGCCAAACAACACGUUAUCAUGCAGAAGUCCCAGCACACUGUGCGUCUGUUUACCACCACUUAACAUUUUCAUAGCGCAUUUUAGAAUUGUUGCUUUUUUUUUUCCACCCUUAAUAAUUUAUGAGCUUAGAAGUAUCAAUAACGUGAAGCUUCAUUACAAGCUAUCUGGAGGAUUCUCAUCUGACUCGUCCCAUUAAAUUAUUAUUCUCAAACAUGAUUUAUAUUUGAUAAGACAUCAACUGGACAUCAAUAAAAUAAUAAUUAAUGAACUAUAUCUUCAUGGAAGUACUGAGCUUAAAUACACAAGCAAAUGCAGUGUGCAGUCUGCAGGUCAGCUGUCAGAUCUCUCUGAGGAUAUUUGUCUGUUUAGUAUCUAGAAUAUGAUAAUAAACCACAAAAAUAUUUAAUUGCUAUGGUCAUUGGCUAGUUGUUGUGACAGCUGUGAACUACGCCAAACUACUAACCUAAGGCAGAAUUGGGAAGUAACAAUGUGUUCAAUGUAGGUGAGAAGGUAAUCUCAAAACAGUACAAAUGCUGAAGGGACUUCACGUUUCCACAAAAUGAAACGUUGAAAGAAUUUUGGUUUGGGUAACUAUCUGUUUGGUUUUUUUUUUCCUUAACAUUACCUAUCGGAUUGAAAUGCUCUAUUUCUCCAUACAGAAAGUUAAAAUAAAGAAUUUUAAUGACUGAAA